UACGUAGGGGGCGAGCGUUGUCCGGAGUUACUGGGCGUAAAGCGCACGCAGGCGGUCUGUUAAGUUUGGAGUGACAGUUGGUGGCUUAACUGCCAAAGUGCUUCGAAAACUGACAGACUUGAGGGCUUCAGAGGGACACGGAACUCCAGGUGUAGUAGUGAAAUGCGUAGAUAUCUGGAAGAACACCAAUGGCGAAGGCAAUGUUCUGGCUCGUUUCUGACGCUCAGGUGCGAAAGCCAGGGGAGCGAACGGG
This 253-nucleotide ribosomal RNA is filed under the name uncultured bacterium. Its description in RNAcentral is "partial 16S ribosomal RNA". It matches the Rfam family "Bacterial small subunit ribosomal RNA", at positions 524 to 776 of the family's 1533-position model. The record is from RNAcentral.